RNAcentral lists this ribosomal RNA (380 nucleotides) under uncultured cyanobacterium. RNAcentral describes it as "bacterial SSU rRNA". It matches the Rfam family "Bacterial small subunit ribosomal RNA", at positions 376 to 770 of the family's 1533-position model. The record is from RNAcentral. Lineage: Bacteria; Bacillati; Cyanobacteriota.
CGAAAGCCUGACGGAGCAAGACCGCGUGGGGGAGGAAUGCCUUAGGGUUGUAAACCCCUUUUAUCUGGGAAGAACAAAAUGACGGUACCAGAUGAAUAAGCCUCGGCUAACUCCGUGCCAGCAGCCGCGGUAAUACGGAGGAGGCAAGCGUUAUCCGGAAUGAUUGGGCGUAAAGCGUCCGCAGGUGGCAAUGUAAGUCUGCUGUCAAAACCCAGGGCUCAACUCUGGUCAGGCAGUGGAAACUGAAUAGCUAGAGUGCCGUAGGGGUAGAGGGAAUUCCCGGUGUAGCGGUGAAAUGCGUAGAGAUCGGGAAGAACAUCGGUGGCGAAAGCGCUCUACUGGACGGCAACUGACACUCAGGGACGAAAGCUAGGGGAGCG